This 374-nucleotide ribosomal RNA is filed under the name uncultured bacterium. Its description in RNAcentral is "bacterial SSU rRNA". It matches the Rfam family "Bacterial small subunit ribosomal RNA", at positions 527 to 896 of the family's 1533-position model. The record is from RNAcentral.
GAGAGGCCCACACGUUAUUCGGAUUUACUGGGCUUAAAGAGUUCGUAUGCAGGCGGAUCGUUAAGUCGGGGGUGAAAUCCCGAGGCUCAACCUCGGAACUGCCUUCGAUACUGGCGAUCUUCGAGUCCGGGAGAGGUGAGUGGAACUGCGAGUGUAGAGGUGAAGUUCGUAGAUAUUCGCAAGAACACCAGUGGCGAAGGCGGCUCACUGGCCCGGUACUGACGCUGAGAUACGAAAGCGUGGGGAGCAAACAGGAUUAGAUACCCUGGUAGUCCACGCCGUAAACGAUGGAUGCUAGCCGUCGGCAAGUUUACUUGUCGGUGGCGCAGCUAACGCAUUAAGCAUCCCGCCUGGGGAGUACGAUCGCAAGAUUA